CGAGCCGGCCGGACGGUCGCGGCGUGAGUCGAGGAAAGUCCGGGCUCCACAGGACAGGGUGGUGGCUAACGGCCACCCGGGGUAACCCGCGGGCUAGUGCCACAGAAAAAAUACCGCCUAUAGACAACGUCUAGUAGGUAAGGGUGAAAAGGCGAGGUAAGAGCUCACCGCGCGGCAGGUGACUGAAGCGGCAUGGUAAACCCCACCCGGAGCAAGACCAAGUAGCAAGGAAGGUGGUCCGCUUACCCUUGCAGGUAGGUUGCUAGAUCCUGUCGGCAACGACAGGGGUAGAUGGAUGGCCGUCGCCUCUCAAUGAGGUACAGAACCCGGCUUAUAGGCCGGCUCAAAAU
The sequence is a non-coding RNA, 350 nucleotides long. It matches the Rfam family "Bacterial RNase P class A". From Rfam's summary of the family: Ribonuclease P (RNase P) is a ubiquitous endoribonuclease, found in archaea, bacteria and eukarya as well as chloroplasts and mitochondria. Its best characterised activity is the generation of mature 5'-ends of tRNAs by cleaving the 5'-leader elements of precursor-tRNAs. The record is from Rfam.